GAGGGAGCAAACAUGAAAAUAAGACUUUGAGCUCAGGAAAAACAGAAAAUGACAACAAGCAUUCCAAAGUCAGAAAAGCUCAGAGUCAGAAGGAUGAAGGACACGUGAAGCAGGAGGUUGAGAAGAAGGUGAAGGCAGAGACUCUGAAGGCAAAUGAGAUCGAGGGGAAUGAGUCUGAGACUCAGAGUCAAGAUGUAAAAGCUGAAGUCCGGAUGGUCGAGGAUCAGAAUGAAAGGAAUGAAAACCUGCAGACACCAAACAAAGAUCUGAAGACUGACAAUGCUGAGCUGCAGCUGUCAAAGUCAGGUGAUUUAAAGAAGACCAAACCUGAACCAGAGAAGCAGAGUGUGGAGAUCAGUACACCAAAGGAGGAGUUGGAGAAAAAUGAAGUAAUGACACCUGACAUGCUUAAGAAAAAGCAGAAGACUUCUUCACUGAAGCUCGACCUUGCUGUCACCAGGAGGAAUAAACUGGAAGACACAGUUGAUCAGUUUUUCAGUGGUAAAAAUCAGUCAAUGGAAAACGAGCUGGAUAACCUGAAGAGGACGCUGCACGCCAGAGAAAAAGAGCUGGAGAGAUUUAAAUGGCUGAGAAAUUACCUCAUUUAUGAAAUCCCUGAGUCUUUUUCACAACUGAAGUUUAAGCUCGCCAUCAGCAGGGUGCAGAAGCUGGAGGACAAAGUAAAAGAACUACUUCAUGGUAAAGAUCAGUCAAAUGAGAAAGACUUGCAGAUCCUGAAGUGGAAGCUUGAGGCCAAAGAAAAAGAAGCUGCAGCCCUGAAGCUCACUGAUGAACACCAGACUGAGGAAGGAGAUGAGAAAAACCUGCAGACACUGGAGAAUAACUCACCAAACCAUGUUGUGGAUGAGGAAGUAGCUGUGGCACAGCAGCAGCUGCAGGGUGAGGAACAGCACAGCGGGAAUGAUGAGUUGGAUAAAACUGAGGUGAUGACACCCGACAUGCUUAAAGAAAAGCAGGAGGCCUCUUCACAGCUGAACCUCGGCCUUGCUGUCACCACGAGGAACAAACUUGAAAUCAAGGUAAGUGAACUCCAGCAGCAGCUGAAGGAUGAACAGCAGAGCAGAGAGAAAGCUGAGAAAGAUGUGCAGACUCUGAAGGAUGAAUUGGAGAAUAAAAACAAAGAGCUACAAGAGUCCAAGUGUCAGUUUGAGUCUCUCACAGAGGUGAGCCAAAAGUCUGAGCGACAGCUGAGUGAACUAAAAGAAAGAUACAAGGAGGAGUUCAAGAAGAAGAUUCGGGGUGAACAGCAGAGGAGGAAGGAGGUUGAGGAAGAUAUAAAGGCCCUGAAACAGGAGCUGGAAAACAAGAUAAACCAGUUACAAAAAGCCAAAGAAGAACCUG
Long non-coding RNA from Astatotilapia calliptera (eastern happy), 1362 nucleotides. The record is from Ensembl. NCBI's taxonomy places the organism in Eukaryota, Metazoa, Chordata, Actinopteri, Cichliformes, Cichlidae.